RNAcentral lists this long non-coding RNA (234 nucleotides) under Lathyrus oleraceus (garden pea). RNAcentral's name for it is "Pisum sativum (pea) long non-coding RNA (PSAT_LNC014282)". The record is from RNAcentral. Lineage: Eukaryota; Viridiplantae; Streptophyta; Magnoliopsida; Fabales; Fabaceae.
CUUCAAAAGGAUAUUAAUAUUGUACGAUGAAUUUUCAGAAGAAAAACAUCCACAAUAAUAAUAAUUAUGAUUGGUAUAAAUGUUUAGCAUAAAGCCAUUAUUAAAUCCUAAAUAUUAAUGGCGGAUCAUUUUAAUUUUAUUAAUGCAUUCAAGUUCUGUUUUUUUUUUCUUUAAGUAACUUAAUUCUUUUGAUUUUUUAUAUUUUCAUUAAUGAAAUAAUAUAUAUAUAUUAAU